This 253-nucleotide ribosomal RNA is filed under the name uncultured bacterium. Its description in RNAcentral is "partial 16S ribosomal RNA". It matches the Rfam family "Bacterial small subunit ribosomal RNA", at positions 524 to 776 of the family's 1533-position model. The record is from RNAcentral.
GACGAACCGUACGAACGUUAUUCGGAAUCACUGGGCUUAAAGGGUGCGUAGGCGGCGGCGCAAGUUGGGUGUGAAAUCCCUCGGCUCAACCGAGGAACUGCGCUCAAAACUGCGUCGCUUGAGGAAGAUAGAGGUGAGUGGAACUUAGGGUGGAGCGGUGAAAUGCGUUGAUAUCCUAAGGAACACCAGUGGCGAAAGCGACUCACUGGGUCUUCUCUGACGCUGAGGCACGAAAGCUAGGGUAGCGAACGGG